AUUGAACGCUGGCGGCAGGCCUAACACAUGCAAGUCGAGCGAGUGGCGGACGGGUGAGUAAUGUAUGGGGACUGCCCGAUAGAGGGGGAUAACUACUGGAAACGGUGGCUAAUACCGCAUACUAUCGGAUAACCCAUAUGGGAUUAGCUAGUAGGUGGGGUAAAGGCUCACCUAGGCGACGAUCUCUAGCUGGUCUGAGAGGAUGAUCAGCAACACUGGUACUGAGAUGCGGACCCGACUCCGACGGAGGCAGCAGUGGGGAAUAUUGCACAAGGGGCGGAAGCCUGAGACAGCCAUGCCGCGUGUAUGAAGAAGGCCUUAGGGUUGUAAAGUACGUUCAGCGGGGAGGCGUUACCCGCAGAAUAAGCACCGGCUAACUCCGUGCCAGCAGCCGCGGUAAUAC
This 403-nucleotide ribosomal RNA is filed under the name uncultured bacterium. RNAcentral's name for it is "partial 16S ribosomal RNA". It matches the Rfam family "Bacterial small subunit ribosomal RNA", at positions 30 to 526 of the family's 1533-position model. The record is from RNAcentral.